UACGUAGGGACCGAGCGUUGUCCGGAAUCAUUGGGCGUAAAGGGCGCGUAGGCGGCAUGGCAAGUGGAUGGUGAAAUCCCUCGGCUUAACCGAGGAACUGCCGUCCAAACUGCUUCGCUUGAGACCGGGAGAGGUGAGUGGAAUUCCCAGUGUAGCGGUGAAAUGCGUAGAUAUUGGGAGGAACACCAGUGGCGAAGGCGGCUCACUGGACCGGUACUGACGCUGAAGCGCGAAAGCGUGGGGAGCAAACGGG
This 253-nucleotide ribosomal RNA is filed under the name uncultured bacterium. Its description in RNAcentral is "partial 16S ribosomal RNA". It matches the Rfam family "Bacterial small subunit ribosomal RNA", at positions 524 to 776 of the family's 1533-position model. The record is from RNAcentral.